This 257-nucleotide ribosomal RNA is filed under the name uncultured bacterium. RNAcentral's name for it is "partial 16S ribosomal RNA". It matches the Rfam family "Bacterial small subunit ribosomal RNA", at positions 355 to 628 of the family's 1533-position model. The record is from RNAcentral.
UGGGGAAUAUUGGACAAUGGGGGCAACCCUGAUCCAGCAAUGCCGCGUGUGUGAAGAAGGUCUUCGGAUUGUAAAGCACUUUCGACGGGGACGAUGAUGACGGUACCCGUAGAAGAAGCCCCGGCUAACUUCGUGCCAGCAGCCGCGGUAAUACGAAGGGGGCUAGCGUUGCUCGGAAUGACUGGGCGUAAAGGGCGUGUAGGCGGUUUACACAGUCAGAUGUGAAAAUCCCCGGGCUUAACCUGGGAGCUGCAUUU